This 896-nucleotide ribosomal RNA is filed under the name Creosphaeria sassafras. Its description in RNAcentral is "partial large subunit ribosomal RNA". It matches the Rfam family "Eukaryotic large subunit ribosomal RNA", at positions 65 to 981 of the family's 3401-position model. The record is from RNAcentral. Lineage: Eukaryota; Fungi; Ascomycota; Sordariomycetes; Xylariales; Xylariaceae.
ACAACAGGGAUUGCCCUAGUAACGGCGAGUGAAGCGGCAACAGCUCAAAUUUGAAAUCUGGCCUUAGGGUCCGAGUUGUAAUUUGUAGAGGAUGCUUUUGGUGCGGUACCUUCCGAGUUCCCUGGAACGGGACGCCAUAGAGGGUGAGAGCCCCGUACGGUUGGAUACCUAGCCUCUGUAAAGCUCCUUCGACGAGUCGAGUAGUUUGGGAAUGCUGCUCUAAAUGGGAGGUAAAUUUCUUCUAAAGCUAAAUACCGGCCAGAGACCGAUAGCGCACAAGUAGAGUGAUCGAAAGAUGAAAAGCACUUUGAAAAGAGGGUUAAAUAGCACGUGAAAUUGUUGAAAGGGAAGCGCUUAUGACCAGACUUUUGUCCGGCGGAUCAUCCGGUGUUCUCACCGGUGCACUUCGCCGGGCUGAGGCCAGCAUCGAUUUCUGUAGGGGGAUAAAGACUUCAGGAAAGUAGCUCCCUUCGGGGAGUGUUAUAGCCCGUUGUGUAAUACCCCUAUAGGGAUCGAGGUUCGCGCAUCUGCAAGGAUGCUGGCAUAAUGGUCAUCAGCGACCCGUCUUGAAACACGGACCAAGGAGUCGAACAUUUAUGCGAGUGUUUGGGUGUUAAACCCUCACGCGUAAUGAAAGUGAACGGAGGUGAGAGCCCUUACGGGUGCAUCAUCGACCGAUCCUGAUGUCUUCGGAUGGAUUUGAGUAAGAGCAUAACUGUUCGGACCCGAAAGAUGGUGAACUAUGCGUGGAUAGGGUGAAGCCAGAGGAAACUCUGGUGGAGGCUCGCAGCGGGUUCUGACGUGCAAAUCGAUCGUCAAAUCUGCGCAUGGGGGCGAAAGACUAAUCGAACCAUCUAGUAGCUGGUUACCGCCCGAAGUUCCCCCCUCAGGAAUAA